AAAAGUUACAGGUGCACGCUUAGGGCCCACUAAAGCUGUGAUUAACAAAUCUCCCCCUUUGGUAUGUCUGAGCUGUCGGAUAUAAAUCCAUCCUCCAUUCCCCCGCCCACUGCUAAGGAAUGGAGGUUCUAGUUUUCCUGAUUCUGGGAGAGACUUUUAUCCUCGGCGGGGGAGGGAGCUGAAGGCACAACAGAAGAGCGGUUGCUGCUGCAGCUUGCACACACUCUGGCCAACCUCGAGACACUGGGUCUAAGAGCUUAGGGUUGGAUAAUGGUAUAGGAGGACACCUGCUCUGCAUUUUUCCUCCCCCUGCCCCGGACUGCUGAACCAUCGGGGGUGGGUAUCAAAGGGAGGGUAUCAAAGACACGAACUGGCAAUCAAUAGGGAGGCACGCAGCCUGCAGACUACAUCCAGGUCACAGUCCAGCCGCGCCGUCUCCAGCCAGUGUUGGAAAGUAAGAUGUGGGAAAGCAAGAUGUGUGGUUCCAGCCACCUGGAUGAUAAAGGAAGAUCAAUACUAACAUGACCAUCCGGACGUGAAUUUUGCCUGUCAGCUAAAGCCUUCAUAUUAACUGCAUUUUCCUGGAGAACCAGACACAUGUUUUGGUAAACCUAGCAAUGGAAUGCAAACUUAUUGAUAAGCAUGGAUGGACAUCUCGUGAGAGGGGCAACGAGAAACAGGUGACCAAGAAACUGACCAACUGUGUAUAACAUUCCAUUCACGUGAAUACUUCAUAUAAAAGUGGGAGAUCACGAGGAUCUCGGCCCUUUUCCCUUUUGCUCCCUUUUGCCUUUGCUUUUUCCCUUCUGCUUAUGGCCGACAUUAGGAGAGGACCUUGCUAGUCGUCCCUGCAAACUGAGGCCUAGUGAGAGACUGAAUCCAGCUCCGGUGUGCUGCAGAGUCUAAUCCAGGACUUUGGUUGCUGGCUCUGCAGUUGCUGAGACUUUCAAGAUUGGUUUUGUAUAUUUUGUAUUAUUUUCUCUAUUCUUAUUAGUAGCAAUAGUAAAACAUUGUUAAUUUUUCCAACUCUCUUCUCUCUGUCCUUCUUUCC
Long non-coding RNA from Columba livia (rock pigeon), 1051 nucleotides. RefSeq lists it as uncharacterized. The transcript has 5 exons. Lineage: Eukaryota; Metazoa; Chordata; Aves; Columbiformes; Columbidae. The record is from RefSeq and is a predicted model, not a curated record.